RNAcentral lists this ribosomal RNA (374 nucleotides) under uncultured organism. RNAcentral describes it as "partial 16S ribosomal RNA". It matches the Rfam family "Bacterial small subunit ribosomal RNA", at positions 527 to 896 of the family's 1533-position model. The record is from RNAcentral.
GUAGGUGGCAAGCGUUAUCCGGAAUUAUUGGGCGUAAAGCGCGCGCAGGCGGUCCUUUAAGUCUGAUGUGAAAGCCCACGGCUCAACCGUGGAGGGUCAUUGGAAACUGGGGGACUUGAGUACAGAAGAGGAAAGCGGAAUUCCAAGUGUAGCGGUGAAAUGCGUAGAGAUUUGGAGGAACACCAGUGGCGAAGGCGGCUUUCUGGUCUGUAACUGACGCUGAGGCGCGAAAGCGUGGGGAGCAAACAGGAUUAGAUACCCUGGUAGUCCACGCCGUAAACGAUGAGUGCUAAGUGUUAGGGGGUUUUCGCCCCCCUUAGUGCUGCAGCUAACGCAUUAAGCACUCCGCCUGGGGAGUACGGCCCGCAAGGCUG